GCAUAUCAAUAAGUGGAGGAAAAGAAACCAACAGGGAUUGCCCUAGUAACGGCGAGUGAAGCGGCAACAGCUCAAAUUUGAAAUCUGGCCUCGGCCCGAGUUGUAAUUUGCAGAGGAUGCUUCUGGCGCGGUGCCUUCCGAGUUCCCUGGAACGGGACGCCACAGAGGGUGAGAGCCCCGUAUGGUCGGACACCAAGCCUGUGUGAAGCUCCUUCGACGAGUCGAGUAGUUUGGGAAUGCUGCUCUAAAUGGGAGGUAAAUCUCUUCUAAAGCUAAAUACCGGCCAGAGACCGAUAGCGCACAAGUAGAGUGAUCGAAAGAUGAAAAGCACCUUGAAAAGGGGGUUAAAUAGUACGUGAAAUUGUUGAAAGGGAAGCACUUAUGACCAGACUUGGGCCGGGCGGCUCAUCAGGGGUUCUCCCCUGUGCACUCCGCCCGGCACAGGCCAGCAUCGGUUCUCGUGGGGGGAUAAGACCGUCAGGAACGUAGCACCCUCCGGGGUGUGUUAUAGCCUGGCGGACGAUACCCCCGUGGGGACCGAGGUCCGCGCAUUGCAAGGAUGCUGGCGUAAUGGUCAUCAGUGACCCGUCUUGAAACACGGACCAAGGAGUCGUCCAUUAGAGCGAGCGUUUGGGUGUAAAACCCGCACGCGUAAUGAAAGUGAACGCAGGUGAGAGCUUCGGCGCAUCAUCGACCGAUCCUGAUGUUCUCGGAAGGAUUUGAGUAAGAGUUUUAACGGACGGACCCGAAAGACAGUGAACUAUGCUUGUAUAGGGUGAAGCCAGAGGAAACUCUGGUGGAGGCUCGCAGCGGUUCUGACGUGCAAAUCGAUCGUCAAAUAUGAGCAUGGGGGCGAAAGACUAAUCG
RNAcentral lists this ribosomal RNA (867 nucleotides) under Diaporthe anacardii. RNAcentral's name for it is "partial 28S ribosomal RNA". It matches the Rfam family "Eukaryotic large subunit ribosomal RNA", at positions 38 to 937 of the family's 3401-position model. Lineage: Eukaryota; Fungi; Ascomycota; Sordariomycetes; Diaporthales; Diaporthaceae. The record is from RNAcentral.